RNAcentral lists this ribosomal RNA (1080 nucleotides) under Triticum aestivum (bread wheat). Its description in RNAcentral is "partial small subunit ribosomal RNA". The record is from RNAcentral. Lineage: Eukaryota; Viridiplantae; Streptophyta; Magnoliopsida; Poales; Poaceae.
AUGGCCUCCAUGCUCAUGGUGCAUAUGAAUCCAGGUCAAGGGGAAACAAGUUAUGCUCGCAACUCCUCUCUUCAGAAUGCAGAGCAGAAGAGGCUGAAGCCUCUGAUAGAAGCGGCUAUCGUUGAUUUCUGCACCAGCACCGGCACCUUGUUACUGACAAAGAUGGUGGUUGCCGACCUGGGGUGCUCCUCUGGUCCAAACGCUAUAGCUCUAGUGUCGGUCGCCGUCGAGACAAUCCACAAUCACUGCCUUCGGUUCUUACAGCCACCUCCGGAAGUGUGUGUGCUCCUCAACGACCUGCCUGGCAGCGACUUCAACACGGUGGUGAAGAGCCUGGACACGCUCCGUCAUAGCAACUGCGAGCCUAUUGUAAUCACUGGUGUUUUACCGGGGUCAUUUUACGAGAGGCUCUUCACAAGUGGCUCCUUGCAUUUUGUCUUCUCGUCAAACAGCCUGCAUUGGAUCUCAAAGGCCCCAGAAGAUCUAACAAGGAACCAGAUCACGGCGUAUGACAUUGAUGAGCAUAUCAGGCUUCAAAGGCGCCCUAUGGUCAUUGAAGCUUAUGCACAACAGUUCAGGAAAGAUUUCACACGUUUCCUGGAGCUGAGAGCCAAAGAACUGAUCCCAGGAGGCCGGAUGGUUGUUUCCCUUGCCGGGAGAGAUUCUGAUGUGAUCACCCCCAAAUUCUCUCACCUGUGGGAGUUCAUAGCUCAGAAUCUAAGCAUCAUGGUCUUAGAGGGUGUGAUUGACAAAGCAAAGUUUGACUCUUUCUACCUGCCUGUGUAUGAACCUUCCGAUAAAGAGCUGAGGGAGAUCAUCCAAGAUGAGGGCUCUUUCUCAAUCACGGAGAUGCAGGUGAACGAACCUCCAAGCGGUCCGGACAGCGCACUCGUGGUCCCAAGCAGGUUUGUGAAUGUGAUCAGAGCCGUAUUUGAGCCAAUAAUAGUCCUGCAUUUUGGACAAGUCAUGGAUGAAUUCGUGCGGACUUUGGAGCGACGCUGGAGCUUGGAGGGUAGCUUGCAAGACGAACAUGCCAGAAACCCGCGAACUACGGUAGCCGUAUCCCUCAGGAAAGCAUGA